Molecule: ribosomal RNA, 253 nt
Filed under: uncultured bacterium
Lineage: Bacteria
Description: partial 16S ribosomal RNA
Rfam family: Bacterial small subunit ribosomal RNA
Source: RNAcentral
UACGUAGGUGACAAGCGUUGUCCGGAUUUACUGGGCGUAAAGCGCGCGUAGGCGGCUUUGCAAGCCGGAUGUGAAAUCCCCGGGCUUAACCUGGGAACUGCAUUCGGGACUGCAUUGCUAGAGUAUGGGAGAGGGAAGUGGAAUUUCAGGUGUAGCGGUGAAAUGCGUAGAUAUCUGAAGGAACAUCAGUGGCGAAAGCGACUUCCUGGACCAAUACUGACGCUCAUGUGCGAAAGCGUGGGGAGCAAACAGG